Molecule: ribosomal RNA, 454 nt
Filed under: uncultured Porphyromonadaceae bacterium
Lineage: Bacteria; Pseudomonadati; Bacteroidota; Bacteroidia; Bacteroidales; Porphyromonadaceae
Description: partial 16S ribosomal RNA
Rfam family: Bacterial small subunit ribosomal RNA
Source: RNAcentral
ACGGGAGGCAGCAGUGAGGAAUAUUGGUCAAUGGGCGAGAGCCUGAACCAGCCAAGUCGCGUGAAGGAUGAAGGUUCUAUGGAUUGUAAACUUCUUUUGUUCGAGGGUAAAGUGAGUCACGUGUGGCUUAUUGCAAGUAUCGAACGAAUAAGCAUCGGCUAACUCCGUGCCAGCAGCCGCGGUAAUACGGAGGAUGCGAGCGUUAUCCGGAUUUAUUGGGUUUAAAGGGUGCGUAGGCGGGACGUCAAGUCAGUGGUGAAAUGGUGCGGCUCAACCGUAGCAUUGCCGUUGAAACUGGGGUUCUUGAGUGCGAAUGAGGUGGGCGGAAUGUGUCAUGUAGCGGUGAAAUGCAUAGAUAUGACACAGAACACCGAUUGCGAAGGCAGCUCACUGGGACGCAACUGACGCUGAGGCACGAAAGUGCGGGGAUCGAACAGGAUUAGAUACCCUGGUA